Molecule: ribosomal RNA, 449 nt
Filed under: uncultured prokaryote
Description: bacterial SSU rRNA
Rfam family: Bacterial small subunit ribosomal RNA
Source: RNAcentral
UGGGGAAUAUUGGACAAUGGGCGCAAGCCUGAUCCAGCAAUGCCGCGUGUGUGAAGAAGGCCUUCGGGUUGUAAAGCACUUUUAUGAGGGAAGAAGGGUUAAACGUUAAUAGCGUUUGACAUUGACGGUACCUCAAGAAUAAGCACCGGCUAACUCCGUGCCAGCAGCCGCGGUAAUACGGAGGGUGCGAGCGUUAAUCGGAAUUACUGGGCGUAAAGGGUACGUAGGCGGUUUUACAAGUCAGAUGUGAAAGCCCCGGGCUUAACCUGGGAACUGCAUUUGAAACUGUAUGACUAGAGUGGAUGAGAGGUUAGUGGAAUUCCUGGUGUAGCGGUGAAAUGCGUAGAUAUCAGGAGGAACAUCAGUGGCGAAGGCGACUAACUGGCAUCACACUGACGCUGAGGUACGAAAGCGUGGGGAGCGAACGGGAUUAGAUACCCCCGUAGUCC